This 484-nucleotide ribosomal RNA is filed under the name uncultured bacterium. RNAcentral describes it as "partial 16S ribosomal RNA". It matches the Rfam family "Bacterial small subunit ribosomal RNA", at positions 30 to 507 of the family's 1533-position model. The record is from RNAcentral.
AUUGAACGCUGGCGGCAUGCUUUACACAUGCAAGUCGAACGGUAACGCGUGUUUCGGUCCUGCCGCGUGUGGCGCACGUGUGUAUUAUAUCUCGACGCGUCUCCUAGUGUGGGGUAACUCCCCGCGAGAGUCGCUUUUAUCCCACAUACUCUACGAGUGUAAGCACGGGGCCUCCGGACCUCGCGCUCUUUUGGCGCCUCCGAUGUCGGAUUAGCUAGUUGGUGGGGUAAAGGCUUACCAAGGCGGCGAUCCGUAGCUGGUCUGAGAGGACGACCAGCCACACUGGGACUGAGACACGGCCCAGACUCCUACGGGAGGCAGCAGUGGGGAAUUUUGGACAAUGGGGGAAAGCCUGAUCCAGCAAUGCCGCGUGCGGGAAGAAGGCCUUCGGGUUGUAAACUGCUUUUGUACGGGAAGAAAAGCUUGGGGCUAAUACCCCGGGGGGAUGACGGUACCGGAAGAAUAAGCACCGGCUAACUACGUG